GCUUGCACGUGGAAGAAGGUUCUGAACUACAAGGAAUUUGAACAUCACUUGCAGCUUCUUUGAGACCAGGAAACACGUCAUUUUAAACCUAUUAUCUUGUAUAUUGUCGGUUCUGUGAAGGGCCACAGUGCGUUUAUUCGGCUAGCUUGAGGGUUGCCGAAGUAAGUGGUUCAAAUUUAACGUUGAGGAUUGAUUGAUCGGUCGUCUUGUCGCUAAUUUCUCCUUCAAGCGCCCAGUACAAAAUUAGAAGAUCGUAUCUAAAUCAAGGAAAUCAUGACUUGAAUGGAAAAUAGGAUAACCUCAAGAUGGACAAUUUUUCUUGUAAGGCUGUAAUCAUGAGGAAGUGUUAGUGAUGUGAACGUGGAUUUGGAAGUUUCAAGCUACACUCUGUAAUUGAGUUGUUGUUGUGAAACUUUUGAUUACAGUGUUGAGAACUUCAAGAUGGUUUUAAACCUAGGACCAUAAACGUUAGUUUCCUGCCAGGUAGUCGAGGAAAGAAGGGGUUGCAAAAUUACUCUGAUAACUUUUGUAGAUCUUGAUACCUUGUAAAAGAAUAAAGUAUUGGGAAACGUU
This is a non-coding RNA of Pocillopora verrucosa, 573 nucleotides long. NCBI's taxonomy places the organism in Eukaryota, Metazoa, Cnidaria, Anthozoa, Scleractinia, Pocilloporidae. The record is from RefSeq and is a predicted model, not a curated record.